AUUGAACGCUGGCGGCAUGCUUUACACAUGCAAGUCGAACGGUAACAGGCCUUCGGGUGCUGACGAGUGGCGCACGGGUGAGUAAUGCAUCGGAACGUACCCAGAGGUGGGGGAUAACGCAGCGAAAGCUGUGCUAAUACCGCAUGUGAUCUGAGGAUGAAAGCGGGGGACCGAGCAGCAAUGUUUGGCCUCGCGCCUUUGGAGCGGCCGAUGUCGGAUUAGCUAGUUGGUGGGGUAAAGGCCUACCAAGGCGACGAUCCGUAGCUGGUCUGAGAGGACGACCGGCCACACUGGGACUGAGACACGGCCCAGACUCCUACGGGGGGCAGCAGUGGGGAAUUUUGGACAAUGGGCGCAAGCCUGAUCCAGCAAUGCCGCGUGCGGGAAGAAGGCCUUCGGGUUGUAAACCGCUUUUGGCAGGAACGAAACGGUGUCCGCUAAUACCGGGCGCUAAUGACGGUACCUGCAGAAUAAGCACCGGCUAACUACGUG
RNAcentral lists this ribosomal RNA (492 nucleotides) under uncultured bacterium. RNAcentral's name for it is "partial 16S ribosomal RNA". It matches the Rfam family "Bacterial small subunit ribosomal RNA", at positions 29 to 507 of the family's 1533-position model. The record is from RNAcentral.